UACAGAGGGUGCAAGCGUUGUUCGGAAUUAUUGGGCGUAAAGCGCGUGUAGGCGGCUAGGCAAGUCGGGUGUGAAAGCCCUCAGCUCAACUGAGGAAGUGCGCCCGAAACUGCCUGGCUUGAGUACCGGAGAGGAUGGCGGAAUUCCCCAAGUAGAGGUGAAAUUCGUAGAUAUGGGGAGGAACACCGGUGGCGAAGGCGGCCAUCUGGACGGAUACUGACGCUGAGACGCGAAAGCGUGGGGAGCAAACAGG
Molecule: ribosomal RNA, 253 nt
Filed under: uncultured prokaryote
Description: partial 16S ribosomal RNA
Rfam family: Bacterial small subunit ribosomal RNA
Source: RNAcentral